GGCGAACGCUGGCGGCGUGCUUAACACAUGCAAGUCGAACGGAAAGGCCCUGCUUUUGUGGGGUGCUCGAGUGGCGAACGGGUGAGUAACACGUGAGUAACCUGCCCUUGACUUUGGGAUAACUUCAGGAAACUGGGGCUAAUACCGGAUAGGAGCUCCUGCUGCAUGGUGGGGGUUGGAAAGUUUCGGCGGUUAGGGAUGGACUCGCGGCUUAUCAGCUUGUUGGUGGGGUAGUGGCUUACCAAGGCUUUGACGGGUAGCCGGCCUGAGAGGGUGACCGGCCACAUUGGGACUGAGAUACGGCCCAGACUCCUACGGGAGGCAGCAGUGGGGAAUAUUGCACAAUGGGCGGAAGCCUGAUGCAGCAACGCCGCGUGCGGGAUGACGGCCUUCGGGUUGUAAACCGCUUUCGCCUGUGACGAAGCGUGAGUGACGGUAAUGGGUAAAGAAGCACCGGCUAACUACGUG
Molecule: ribosomal RNA, 468 nt
Filed under: uncultured bacterium
Lineage: Bacteria
Description: partial 16S ribosomal RNA
Rfam family: Bacterial small subunit ribosomal RNA
Source: RNAcentral